RNAcentral lists this ribosomal RNA (406 nucleotides) under uncultured bacterium. RNAcentral's name for it is "partial 16S ribosomal RNA". It matches the Rfam family "Bacterial small subunit ribosomal RNA", at positions 30 to 526 of the family's 1533-position model. The record is from RNAcentral.
AUUGAACGCUGGCGGCAGGCCUAACACAUGCAAGUCGAACGAGUGGCGGACGGGUGAGUAAUGUCUGGGAAUCUGCCUGAUGGAGGGGGAUAACUACUGGAAACGGUAGCUAAUACCGCAUACCAUCAGAUGUACCCAGAUGGGAUUAGCUUGUUGGUGGGGUAACGGCUCACCAAGGCGAUGAUCCCGAGCUGGUCUGAGAGGAUGACCGGCUACACUGCAACUGAGAGACUGCCCAGACGCCCAGGCUAGGAAGCAGUGGGGAAGAUUGGAAUAUGGGAGAAAGCCUGAUGCAGCCAUGCAGCGAGUAUGCAGAGGGCAUGCGGGUUUUAAAGUAGUAUCCGUGUUGAGGCGUUACCUGCAGAAGAAGCACCGGCUAACUCCGUGCCAGCCGCCGCGGUAAUAC